AAAGUGUCAGCGGUGGGUCAGCGGAAAAUGGAGGAAUUGUCAAAAGCUUUGGAACAGGACGUAUUCACGACACUGGCAGAUCAUGUCCGCGGAUGCCUUUGAAAAGGCGUUAGAAAACCACCAAACGUGAUGCCAUUGGGAGUCGAGGAGGAGUUGGCAGCAACGCUGAUUCGAUGGAUUGGUGAAUCCCUUUAGGCGUACGCAGUUCUGCAUAAUGCGCCGGUGCCUCCCCACAUUGUUAACCAGGGAAACGUCUACAUGAUGUUCAUUGAGGGCCAUAUUUUUUCCUUGGGUACUAGAUCAGUCCAAGCAGUAGAAACAUUUGUAAAAAAUUUCAUUGUAUUUAACUACAAGGUACCAGCUACAUUGAUAAAGAUGGCUGAAUUAGUUAAAAUACUUAGCUAUAAAGUAAAAAUGAGCAGUUCACGACUCUCAGUUAACAAACUUUGUAAUAAAAUGCGUGAGACGAUUAAUGCGAAUA
Molecule: long non-coding RNA, 481 nt
Organism: Ochlerotatus camptorhynchus
Lineage: Eukaryota; Metazoa; Arthropoda; Insecta; Diptera; Culicidae
Exons: 3
Source: RefSeq, a predicted model, not a curated record